AACGAACGCUGGCGGCAGGCCUAACACAUGCAAGUCGAGCGCCCCGCAAGGGGAGCGGCGCACGGGUGAGUAACGCGUGGGAAUAUGCCCUGGGGCUGGGGAUAACGGCGGGAAACUGCCGCUAAUACCCGGUACGCCUUGAGAGGGAAAGGAGCAAUCCGCCCUGGGAGUAGCCCGCGUUGGAUUAGCUAGUUGGUGAGGUAAGAGCUCACCAAGGCGACGAUCCAUAGCUGGUCUGAGAGGAUGAUCAGCCACACUGGGACUGAGACACGGCCCAGACUCCUACGGGAGGCAGCAGUGGGGAGUAUUGGACAAUGGGGGGCAACCCUGAUCCAGCCAUGCCGCGUGAGUGAAGAAGGCCUUAGGGUUGUAAAGCUCUUUCGGCGGGGACGAUGAUGACGGUACCCGCAGAAGAAGCCCCGGCUAACUUCGUGCCAGCAGCCGCGGUAAU
RNAcentral lists this ribosomal RNA (451 nucleotides) under uncultured bacterium. RNAcentral describes it as "bacterial SSU rRNA". It matches the Rfam family "Bacterial small subunit ribosomal RNA", at positions 29 to 524 of the family's 1533-position model. The record is from RNAcentral.